GUGGGGAAUCUUGCGCAAUGGGCGAAAGCCUGACGCAGCCAUGCCGCGUGGAUGAUGAAGGUCUUAGGAUUGUAAAAUCCUUUCACCGGUGAAGAUAAUGACUGUAGCCGGAGAAGAAGCCCCGGCUAACUUCGUGCCAGCAGCCGCGGUAAUACGAAGGGGGCUAGCGUUGCGCGGAAUUACUGGGCGUAAAGGGAGCGUAGGCGGACAUUUAAGUCAGGGGUGAAAUACCGAGGCUCAACCUCGGAACUGCCUUUGAUACUGGGUGUCUUGAGUGUGAGAGAGGUGAGUGGAACUCCGAGUGUAGAGGUGAAAUUCGUAGAUAUUCGGAAGAACACCAGUGGCGAAGGCGACUCACUGGCUCAUUACUGACGCUGAGGCUCGAAAGCGUGGGGAGCAAACAGGAUUAGAAACCCCGGUAGUCC
RNAcentral lists this ribosomal RNA (425 nucleotides) under uncultured bacterium. RNAcentral's name for it is "partial 16S ribosomal RNA". It matches the Rfam family "Bacterial small subunit ribosomal RNA", at positions 354 to 796 of the family's 1533-position model. The record is from RNAcentral.